GACGAACGCUGGCGGCGUGCUUAACACAUGCAAGUCGAACGGAAAGGCCUGCUUUCCCUUGUGGAUUGCGGGUACUCGAGUGGCGAACGGGUGAGUAACACGUGAGUGAUCUGCCCCCAACUUGGGUAUAAGCCUGGGAAACUGGGUCUAAUUCCCGAUAGGACUGCAGGGUGGUGCCUGUGGUGGAAAACGAUUUUCUAGUGGUUGGGGAUGAGCUCGCGGCCUAUCAGCUUGUUGGUGGGGUAAUGGCCUACCAAGGCGGCGACGGGUAGCCGGCCUGAGAGGGUGGACGGCCACAUUGGGACUGAGAUACGGCCCAGACUCCUACGGGAGGCAGCAGUGGGGAAUAGUGCACAAGGAGCGGAAGCCUGAUGCAGCGACGCCGCGUGGGGGAUGACGGCCUUCGGGUUGUAAACUCCUUUCGACCGCGAGGAAGCCACCUGGUUGGAAGGGUGGUGACGGUAGUGGUAGAAGAAGCACCGGCUAACUACGUG
RNAcentral lists this ribosomal RNA (494 nucleotides) under uncultured bacterium. RNAcentral describes it as "partial 16S ribosomal RNA". It matches the Rfam family "Bacterial small subunit ribosomal RNA", at positions 28 to 507 of the family's 1533-position model. The record is from RNAcentral.